RNAcentral lists this ribosomal RNA (253 nucleotides) under uncultured bacterium. RNAcentral's name for it is "partial 16S ribosomal RNA". It matches the Rfam family "Bacterial small subunit ribosomal RNA", at positions 524 to 776 of the family's 1533-position model. The record is from RNAcentral.
UACAGGGGGGGCAAGCGUUGUUCGGAAUUACUGGGCGUAAAGGGCUCGUAGGUGGCCAACUAAGUCAGACGUGAAAUCCCUCAGCUUAACUGGGGAACUGCGUCUGAUACUGGAUGGCUUGAGUUUGGGAGAGGGAUGCGGAAUUCCAGGUGUAGCGGUGAAAUGCGUAGAUAUCGGGAGGAACACCCGUGGCGAAGGCGGCUCUCUGGCCUGUAACUGACGCUGAGGCGCGAAAGCGUGGGGAGCAAACAGG